GUUUGCCUUUAUGAGAACACCCAAUAAAUUAAAAACGAUACAGAGAAGAUUAGCAUGACCCAUUUACAAGAAUGACGUACACAAAUCGAGAAAUAAUUGUUGUCAUU
Tripterygium wilfordii is the source of this 107-nucleotide small nuclear RNA. NCBI's taxonomy places the organism in Eukaryota, Viridiplantae, Streptophyta, Magnoliopsida, Celastrales, Celastraceae. The record is from RefSeq and is a predicted model, not a curated record.